UACGUAUGGAGCAAGCGUUAUCCGGAUUUACUGGGUGUAAAGGGAGCGUAGGCGGUGCUUUAAGUCUGAUGUGAAAACCCAAGGCUCAACCAUGGGAUUGCAUUGGAAACUGGAGUACUAGAGUGUCGGAGAGGUAAGUGGAAUUCCUAGUGUAGCGGUGAAAUGCAUAGAUAUUAGGAGGAACACCAGUGGCGAAGGCGGCUUACUGGACGACUACUGACGCUGAGACUCGAAAGCGUGGGGAG
This 245-nucleotide ribosomal RNA is filed under the name uncultured Lachnobacterium sp. RNAcentral's name for it is "partial 16S ribosomal RNA". It matches the Rfam family "Bacterial small subunit ribosomal RNA", at positions 524 to 768 of the family's 1533-position model. Lineage: Bacteria; Bacillati; Bacillota; Clostridia; Lachnospirales; Lachnospiraceae. The record is from RNAcentral.